GUGAAUCAUCGAAUUUUUGAACGCAAAUUGCGCCUUUUUCGGAAGGCAUGUCUGUUUGAGGGCACCAUUUAACAAAUAAUGUGCACCGUUUUUGUGUGUGCACACGUUGAUGAGCUUUCCAGGAAAAAAAUUUUUUUUUUGGUGGCGCAUAAUGAACAGCGCGAAAGCUUUUUUUUCAGUUCGAGUGUAGUAAAAUCUUUGCUUGGGUUGUGAAAAGCAAGUAGCGCAAUGGGUGUGGCAAUUUUGUAAUCCCCUGCCCCAAUGCCACUCUUUCUCGCGAAAGAAUGUUAUAAUCUUCAGG
RNAcentral lists this unclassified non-coding RNA (301 nucleotides) under Paraglomus occultum. Its description in RNAcentral is "partial contains 5.8S ribosomal RNA and internal transcribed spacer 2". The stretch from base 1 to 65 matches the Rfam family "5.8S ribosomal RNA", at positions 84 to 154 of the family's 154-position model. The record is from RNAcentral. Lineage: Eukaryota; Fungi; Glomeromycota; Glomeromycetes; Paraglomerales; Paraglomeraceae.